ACGUUCGACCUCGAAUCAUGUAGGAUUACCCGCUGAACUUAAGCAUAUCAAUAAGCGGAGGAAAAGAAACCAACCGGGAUUGCCCUAGUAACGGCGAGUGAAGCGGCAAAAGCUCAAAUUUGAAAUCUGGCGCUUUGCGUCCGAGUUGUAAUUUGUAGAGGAGCGAUCGGUGAAGCCUAGGUCCAAGUCUGCUGGAAGGCAGCGCCAUUGAGGGUGACAGCCCCGUACGACUGAUGGUGAAGCCAUGUGAUCGCCCUUCGAAGAGUCGAGUUGUUUGGGAAUGCAGCUCAAAGCGGGUGGUAAAUUCCAUCUAAAGCUAAAUAUUGGCCAGAGACCGAUAGCGCACAAGUAGAGUGAUCGAAAGAUGAAAAGCACUUUGGAAAGAGAGUGAAACAGUACGUGAAAUUGUUGAAAGGGAAGCGCUUGCGAUCAGACUUGACCCGCACGUUCCCCCGUUCCUUGUGGACGGGAUACUCGUGUGGAGCAGGCCAGCAUCAGUUCGGACGGUCGGAUAAAGGCUGGAGGAAAGUAGCUUUCACUUGUGGAAGUGUUAUAGCCUCUGGCACAAUACGGCCUGACCGGACUGAGGACAGCGUUCGCUAGGAUGCUGGCG
RNAcentral lists this ribosomal RNA (613 nucleotides) under Polylobatispora quinquecornuta. Its description in RNAcentral is "partial 28S ribosomal RNA". It matches the Rfam family "Eukaryotic large subunit ribosomal RNA", at positions 1 to 631 of the family's 3401-position model. Lineage: Eukaryota; Fungi; Ascomycota; Sordariomycetes. The record is from RNAcentral.